GGAUCAUUAAUGAAAUUAUAAUCCGGCGAGGGAAAGGCGGAGAGUUGUAGCUGGCCCCAGGGCAUGUGCACGCUCUCUUCYGGACUUUCGCCGUAUGGGCGCGGGGCGACCCGCGUCUUCAUAUACCUCUUCGUGUAGAAAGUCUUUGAAUGUUAUUACCAUCAUCGAGUCGCGACUUCUAGGAGACGCGAUUCUUUGAGACAAAAGUUAUYACAACUUUCAGCAACGGAUCUCUUGGCUCUCGCAUCGAUGAAGAACGCAGCGAAUCGCGAUAUGUAAUGUGAAUUGCAGAUCUACAGUGAAUCAUCGAAUCUUUGAACGCACCUUGCGCUCCUCGGUGUUCCGAGGAGCAUGCCUGUUUGAGUGUCAGUAAAUUCUCAACCCCUCUCGAUUUGCUUCGACAGGGUGCUUGGAUGUUGGGGGCUGCCGGAGACACUGGACUCGUCCAGGACUCGGGCUCCUCUUAAAUGAAUCGGCUUGCGGUCGACUUUCGACUUUGCAUGACAAGGCCUUUGGCGUGAUAAUGAUCGCCGUUCGCCGAAGUGCAAGACAGAACGGUCCCGUGCCUCUAAUGCGUCGACGCCUCUCGGGGCCGUCUUCCUCAUUGACGUUUGACCUCAAUCAGGUAGGACUACC
RNAcentral lists this ribosomal RNA (636 nucleotides) under Suillus brevipes. Its description in RNAcentral is "eukaryotic LSU rRNA". Lineage: Eukaryota; Fungi; Basidiomycota; Agaricomycetes; Boletales; Suillaceae. The record is from RNAcentral.